GUCCACGCCCUAAACGAUGUCAACUGGUUGUUGGGAGGGUUUCUUCUCAGUAACGUAGCUAACGCGUGAAGUUGACCGCCUGGGGAGUACGGCCGCAAGGUUGAACUCAAAGGAAUUGACGGGGACCCGCACAAGCGGUGGAUGAUGUGGUUUAAUUUCGAUGCAACGCGAAAAACCUUAACCUACCCUUGACAUGUCAGAAAUCCCGGAGAGAUUUGGGAGUGCUCGAAAUAGAAUCUGAACACAGGUGCUGCAUGGCCGUCGU
This 265-nucleotide ribosomal RNA is filed under the name uncultured bacterium. RNAcentral's name for it is "partial 16S ribosomal RNA". It matches the Rfam family "Bacterial small subunit ribosomal RNA", at positions 793 to 1055 of the family's 1533-position model. The record is from RNAcentral.